AAUUUGUGUUUCAUAAAACAGGUAAAGCCAUCAUUACAGCAGCUGCAGUAGGAGGUACCGUGGUUCUGACUCCUGCUGUUCUGGCGGGAAUGGGCUUCGGUGCAACUGGAAUAGUAGCAGGCUCCAUAGCUGCUAAGUUGAUGUCAAUUUUUGGAGCUACCUGGUUGAUAUCUCUCUUGCAAUCUAUAGGUGCCGCUGGAAUGGGAUGGCUUGGAAAUUCACUAUGGAGCGUGUUUGGAGGUUUUAUAGCAAAUCAGAUAUCAUCUCUCUGCAAUAUAACUGUUGUGUAUAAUGGCACCUAAACAUAGCAUUGAUAAGAAACUGAUGACCAUUGGUCUAUAAAAUCUGCAAAUGCUGUUUUGGCUUUUUUAAUAGAUCUUUUCUUAUCUUCCUUAGCUAACCACUAUGAGUAGAUUAUGCCUUAAGACUAUAUGAAGAUUUUAUUUCAAAGUAAUUUGUAUUAUAUUAAACAUUUGUUAUUUUGUGCAACUACACAUUUGGAUGUUUCUUUUAAACUUCAGUAAAAUAUAUUGUACUGAUGAGCCUUCAGGGUUUUUAUUAAGACAAGAAAGAUGCUUUUACCAGGGUGUCCUAACAAUGAUGCAAAGUGGUCAAAUGUGACAUGAAAUCUACGGUUUGUCUUUUAGUUACCCUAAUAAACAGACUCUUCUUCUUCCUGUGGAUCAAUUUAAAGAAAUCUGUAACUGUUCUGACCAUCUUAAAGGAAUAAAUAUUUGAUCUGGGUGAAUAAAGUAAUUUAAUCAU
Molecule: long non-coding RNA, 765 nt
Organism: Cyprinodon variegatus (sheepshead minnow)
Lineage: Eukaryota; Metazoa; Chordata; Actinopteri; Cyprinodontiformes; Cyprinodontidae
Exons: 3
Source: RefSeq, a predicted model, not a curated record